GUACGUACAAGCAGUGGGAGCCUCUUUUAUGGGGUGACUGCGUACCUUUUGUAUAAUGGGUCAGCGACUUAUAUUCUGUAGCAAGGUUAACCGAAUAGGGGAGCCGAAGGGAAACCGAGUCUUAACCGGGCGUUAAGUUGCAGGGUAUAGACCCGAAACCCGGUGAUCUAGCCAUGGGCAGGUUGAAGGUUGGGUAACACUAACUGGAGGACCGAACCGACUAAUGUUGAAAAAUUAGCGGAUGACUUGUGGCUGGGGGUGAAAGGCCAAUCAAACCGGGAGAUAGCUGGUUCUCCCCGAAAGCUAUUUAGGUAGCGCCUCGUGAAUUCAUCUCCGGGGGUAGAGCACUGUUUCGGCAAGGGGGUCAUCCCGACUUACCAACCCGAUGCAAACUGCGAAUACCGGAGAAUGUUAUCACGGGAGACACACGGCGGGUGCUAACGUCCGUCGUGAAGAGGGAAACAACCCAGACCGCCAGCUAAGGUCCCAAAGUCAUGGUUAAGUGGGAAACGAUGUGGGAAGGCCCAGACAGCCAGGAUGUUGGCUUAGAAGCAGCCAUCAUUUAAAGAAAGCGUAAUAGCUCACUGGUCGAGUCGGCCUGCGCGGAAGAUGUAACGGGGCUAAACCAUGCACCGAAGCUGCGGCAGCGACACUGUGUGUUGUUGGGUAGGGGAGCGU
RNAcentral lists this ribosomal RNA (678 nucleotides) under Escherichia coli. RNAcentral describes it as "partial 23S ribosomal RNA". It matches the Rfam family "Bacterial large subunit ribosomal RNA", at positions 560 to 1239 of the family's 2925-position model. RNAcentral also lists the same sequence under 1 other name. Lineage: Bacteria; Pseudomonadati; Pseudomonadota; Gammaproteobacteria; Enterobacterales; Enterobacteriaceae. The record is from RNAcentral.